UCCAGAGAUGCUGCCUGUCCCGCUGAGUUACUCCAGCAUUUUCAAUUUUGUGGCAUGAGUGAACAGAUGCAGCUGUUGAAGGCAGAGCAGCAACUUUCCAUAAGUGAUGCAGUUGUGAUAUAAACCCGAAAUAAUGUAAUCA
Molecule: long non-coding RNA, 142 nt
Organism: Amblyraja radiata (thorny skate)
Lineage: Eukaryota; Metazoa; Chordata; Chondrichthyes; Rajiformes; Rajidae
Exons: 3
Source: RefSeq, a predicted model, not a curated record